Molecule: long non-coding RNA, 2883 nt
Organism: Lagopus leucura (white-tailed ptarmigan)
Lineage: Eukaryota; Metazoa; Chordata; Aves; Galliformes; Phasianidae
Exons: 3
Source: RefSeq, a predicted model, not a curated record
CGGUCGGAAGACGGUCGGUCAGUGGUGCCAAGGUGGUAGAGGUCGAUGGGGGGGAGCUCCGCGCCACGAACCGUGCCCUGUGUCUGCUUCGUGGGUGUGGGACAGUUCGCUCUGAGCUUCUUGGUGGUGAAAGCUUGCUGUGGUUACAUGCGUCUCACAGCGCAAAUGCUUAUGCCCUGCGAAUUGUCUGCCCUAGGCUGACUCUGGGGUCUCAACUCCGCAUAAUAAAAGAUGUUCCAGUGGUAGUGCUUCAUGGUUAUUGGGCCGUGUGGGACCACAGGUGCCCCGUGGGUGCAGUGAGCACAGAGUGCAGCCCCAGCUGUGCCUCUGAGGAGAUGUCAUCACCGGGAAGGGUGCUGUUCCACUAGGUCCAUCUCUGCUGUCCUCUGGAGAGGCAGGGUGGUGCUGCGUGUGUGACACAAAACAUCUACUCAUGGUAUUAGGGGCAUUAACCAGCAGUGCUGCAUUAUUUGCUCAGUAAGUAGGAGAUUUAUGAAAGCGUUUUGUAAAUGUUACAGGAAGAAUUCUGAAAUCCCUGUAGCUUUAAAGACUGGGAAGUAUAAAUGAAUUGGAAUGAGGGCUGCAUUUAUUUUAUUAUUUAUUUGUUUGUCUGUUUGUUUAUUGUGGAAAGGAUUUUGCAGCUCAGAAUUCUGCUUAUUUCUGGUAAAACUAAACUGGAAGAUGAGCUUGACUGCAAAUCUGCCUGUAAGAAAACAGAGAUGCUGAAGAUAGGAUAUGUGUGUUCUUUUAGAAUGGAAUCGUGGCUAUGUUCCUUAUGCAAACUGUUUCAGUCUGUUGAUGUCCGUUAGAGCUGGUUUGUACCAUGACUGCUGCGGACCCUUUCCUGAGGCCUGAUUUUCUGCAUGUGCACCUUAGUUCCCCCUGCCCUGCUCUUUCAGUAUUUGUGAAGACAAAUAGGUUUGCUUAGCAAGCUCUUUUACUAAAGUUGUGUCACAUCUCAUUCCUCUACAUUUUGUUCCAGUGUGAACGCAUCCAGAAUCUUGGAGAAGGAUUUUCAGCAGCUCACAUAUGGAGAUGAUGCCACUUUCCUUGCUUUGUUGAGUCCAGUUCUUAAAAUGUUCAGUACUGACUGAAAGCUACAGAAAGGAGCUCUGAGGAGGAAAUGAAAAAUAUGUGAAAAGCAUUGUAGGGACCUCCAUGACCCAGACUAAAAGUAAUCUGAAAUAAACCUACCUGGAAUGUACAUGGUGUGGAUGUCCAAUCCUCAGCAUCCACUGUUCUGCACUUCACUCCAUCGCUUGUCUGCACUACUUCCCACAGGGGGCAUAGCCUGGUAAGUUGUGGAAAAUGGGAUGUGAAGAUGGAUUUUCUGGAUCCUGAUGCCUACCUAGAAUCACUGCUGCUACCUCUAGGGCACAAUUCCAGGUACUGCCAUGAGAUACAGCAAUUGAGAGCUGACUGAACUCUUGCUAUACCCACUCAGAACGCCCAGCUUUGCUCAGAUUAUUUUUCAAAAGGCUGUACUCUAAUGGGUUUUUGUUUGGCUGAUUUGCAGAAGGGAAAAUAUAAAAAGACAUGCUUAAAUUUAGUAAUACUAAUGUCAAUUGUGUGGUUACUAGAGAAAGCUCUCUCACAGAAAAUGUUCUUGUUUUAUGAAUCAUUUAGUACAUCAGAGGUAACAUAAUAAAAAUAGGUUGCUGCCAUGUGAUCAGUGUCUCCAGCUUUGAAAAUUGAAUAGGUUUAAAAAUGUUUAUUUUUGAAGAUUGCAUUCUGCCAGCAGCAGGCUCUCUUAUGCUGUGAUACAUCUGUAACUCCCCUUGUUAAUUUCCCUGCAGCAUUCUGUAGCCUCACUGACAUCUGUAAGCAGGUAUCCAGUGUGCCAGUGCAGUCUCUUCACAUGGUAGCGUAACUCAGAUAUACUUGGUUUUUGCAAGUUUUUAGAUGCUUUCACCCUUUGUCUUGCCAUGUUAAAGUGAUAUUUUUACUUUUUAAAAUAUUUUCAUUGUCAGCUCUUGUAUACCUGUCUGUGCUUUCUUACUGUUGUCAGAAAAGGAACGUGUAAAACUGGGUGUCCCAGCAGAUGAAAAAACCCUAACAGCAUUUCCCUGCAUAGGAGAAAGAAAUUGGGAAGAUUCAGUAAAAGUGCAGGAGAACACUGAGAAAAUCUGAAGUUAAGGGAAAGAAGGAAAUGCAGUAGCAGCUCUGCAAAAAUGGACUGAAGAGUGCUGGAGUGCUCCAGCUUGUCUGCUAAAGGUUUUUCGCAGUAAACUUUAAUGAACCAACUCUGCCUGACUUGUCUUGCUUUGAUUCUGUUAUAAAAAUUGUUGGUGAAGAUUUUCAUUUGGCUCAAUGUAUAGGAUGCUGGGCUUUUGUAGUGGAAAAAUCUGAGUUCCCUUUUGCUGGGAAGUAUCAGAGCUUGCAGAAGCAUUCAUAGUGCAGGCAUGUUCUAGUAAGAGUGCACUGUCCCGCUCUGUAGCUUCAGAGAGCUGAAAAGAUGAGGAAGUAUGGGAACUGAGUUUUGGCAGCAUGGUUUUACUUGCAUUUUAAUUCAUGUUUUCUUGAUUGUUUCACAUCCCUGAUUUAGUUCUCCUUUUAGAUUUUUGCAAUGGGAUUAUGGUUUCUUGAUGGAUUCCCUGUGUCCUUUUGACAAGAGCUCCUGUUGCUUGCUUUUCAAAGAAAGAAUAGAAACUUGCUUCUAUGUGUCCUCAGAAUUGCUGGAGGUGGUACUACCUUGACCCCAAUUAAAUUGCUCAUCCCAAAUCAAUUUGCCACCACACAGACAAUAUUAUAUUACUAGAAUCUGAACCUACAGACUCAAGCCUCUCAGCAUUGGCCAAACACUUGCCUUAUAAUGUAGAGAUUACGCUAAAACAAAAGGAACCAUAUUACUGUAAUUUCUUUCCAUCUUUCUUUCUUUUUUGC